GCUCUUAUGAAGUUAGCGGCGGACGGGUGAGUAACACGUGGGUAACCUACCCAUAAGACUGGGAUAACUCCGGGAAACCGGGGCUAAUACCGGAUAAUAUUUUGAACUGCAUAGUUCGAAAUUGAAAGGCGGCUUCGGCUGUCACUUAUGGAUGGACCCGCGUCGCAUUAGCUAGUUGGUGAGGUAACGGCUCACCAAGGCGACGAUGCGUAGCCGACCUGAGAGGGUGAUCGGCCACACUGGGACUGAGACACGGCCCAGACUCCUACGGGAGGCAGCAGUAGGGAAUCUUCCGCAAUGGACGAAAGUCUGACGGAGCAACGCCGCGUGAGUGAUGAAGGCUUUCGGGUCGUAAAACUCUGUUGUUAGGGAAGAACAAGUGCUAGUUGAAUAAGCUGGCACCUUGACGGUACCUAACCAGAAAGCCACGGCUAACUACGUGCCAGCAGCCGCGGUAAUACGUAGGUGGCAAGCGUUAUCCGGAAUUAUUGGGCGUAAAGCGC
Molecule: ribosomal RNA, 503 nt
Filed under: Bacillus mycoides
Lineage: Bacteria; Bacillati; Bacillota; Bacilli; Caryophanales; Bacillaceae
Description: bacterial SSU rRNA
Rfam family: Bacterial small subunit ribosomal RNA
Source: RNAcentral